This 3286-nucleotide small RNA is filed under the name Pan troglodytes (chimpanzee). RNAcentral describes it as "retained intron". Lineage: Eukaryota; Metazoa; Chordata; Mammalia; Primates; Hominidae. The record is from RNAcentral.
GAUCACCAUGACAGAUAUAAUAACAUAAUAGUAACAGAAAAGUUUGAAAAAUGCAAAUUACCAAAAUGUGAGCUCAUGGUUUUGGAGAAAAUGGUUCCAAUAGACUCACCAGAUGCAGGGUUGCCACAAAUCUUCAAUUUGUAAAAAACGCAAUAUCUGUGAACCACAGUAAAGUUGAAGUGCAACAAAAUUAGGUAUGCCUGUAUGGAAACGCAGAGCUCACACCCUUCUGAUGAACAGACAGAAGUGUCAGAUCCUUUUCUAUGCUAGCAAAGGAUUUUAAGGGUUUGGAAUUCUCUUAAAAGUGUAAAGCUCUUAAGAGGGCGUUACUUGGCAAAGCAGUGCUUUAUCUCAUUCUCUUGUUUGCCUGUUCAAACUUCCCACCCAUUGUAGACCCACUUGCUGUGUUAUUGCAGGUUAAGCCCCCAAGACCCUUUUCUCUCACCUUUUCUGUUCACUUCCCAUCCCCUUUCCUUUUCAGGUCAUCCUCCAUGCCCUUCUGAUGUCCACACGUCUCUUCAUUUUCUUCUCAGGCCUCCUCUUUCUCUCACCAUCUAAGUUAUUGAAAUUCUUGAAAUCCUAAGCAGGCCUGGCACUGAGAGGUAAGCACCUGAGAGUGUCAGUCUUCCCUAGAUAAAUGGAACUGUGUGCAGAUCUGGGACUGCUGGAAGGGUGUGAGGUAGGGAUUUAAGGAUGGCGCAAGUAGGGUGGGGCUAAAAAAGACCUUGUCUUCUUUAUAUAGGAGCAUCGAGAUUAAAGGGUGUGAGGUAGGGGUUUAAGGAUGGCGCAAGUCAGGUGGGGCUAAAAAAGACCUUGUCUUCUUUAUAUAGGAGCAUCGAGAUUAAACACUGAAUUCAGCAGUGUUCAAUUCAUUUCUUAUUUUCCACUGUAUUUCAUUUCAACCCAUCCUCUAUAUUUUGUGAGCCUAAAGCCUUUAGAUAUGUGUAGAGGAAGGUGUGAUACAGCUUUCAACUUCUUGAAAUUUGCCCAAGAAAUACUUUGUAUCAUGAGGUCUGCAGUUAUUUAUACAAAUCCCUGAAAAUAUUUCAUGGCAAAUCUGUAGCACCCAGUUGAGAUGAGACCAAACUGGAAAAAACUCUGUGGCUGUGGUUAUUGUCAGUUCUGUAAGAUGAAGAUGGGACCAGUGACAAGAAUGUGCACUAUUUACUGAGCACUCACCUGCACAGGGCCAUGUGCUUUUCAGACAUUGCCUCUUUCAGUCUUGAGCACAAUGCCAGUUGUGCCAUCCCCUGACAUAUAGAUGAGAUGAAGAUCCAGACAUAACCAGCAAGGGCAGGGCUGGGAUGCGAUCCAUGUGUGCCUGGUUCCCAGGGUUCGCAUGUUUGCAGUGUUCUCUCCAUAACGGUUUGCCUUAAUGAAGAGAGGAUUCAGGAUGUCCAGUUUCAGCCUCACUGGCUGGGCUGGAAUCUUCCAUUGACCCUUCCACUCUACAUUCCUCCCUGGCCUGGGAUGCUCACUCGAGUGGGCUUCUUGCUGGGCUUGGCCAGUGGGGGUUGCCAUCAGGAGACAACAGGGCAUCUGCUUCUCCAGGGCAUCCCCCAGGGCACAGUGCUUUGUGACUCAAGGGUCUGCCCCUCAUGGUUUCCCUAAACCUCACUCCUCUCUUUGUAAACAGCCCCUUUAUAAAUUACACACCUUGAGGGUGUCAUCUGCUUUCUGUCAGGAGCAGGACUGACUCACUAGCAUCACUCCUAAAUAAUGUGAACUUGUUUUGAUUUUUUGUUUGAGGCAGAGUCUCUCACAGUGUUCCUAGGCUGGAGUGCAGUGGCAUGGUCUUGGCUCAUUCUGGGCUCAAGCAAUCCUUUCACCUUAGCCAUCUCAGUAGCUGGGACUAUAGGCAUGCGCCACCAUGCUCGGCUAAUUUUUAAAAUAUUUGUAGAGAUGGGGUCUUGCUAUGUUGCGAGGCUGGUCUUGAACUCCAGGGCUCAAGUGAUCCUUCUGCCUCGGCUUCCUAAAGUGUUGGGAUUACAGGUAUGAGCCACUGCACCUGCCCAAUGAUGUGAACUUUUAGUAAGUCACUUCAGUUAUCUGGGCCCAACUUGCUUUACCUGUCAGGCAGGGACCAUGGUGCCUGGUCUCCCAGAUUGUGAAUGUCAAAGAAAACAGGUAGAGAGGCACUUUGGAAGAUAAACACUCCUCAGAAUGGGAGCUAGCAGUGUAAUUCCACAAGGCACAGAAUGGGCAUUCACUGCAUAGCCUGACUGGAAGUGGAGCAUCCUUUGUGAGAAAAGGAAACCUCUGAGACAGUGAGUAUGUUUCCAUUCUGAAAAGCUUGAUGCAAUCAAAAUAGAAGAAAGAGCACCGCUGAAGAGAAUAAGAGAAGAGAUCUUUGUUUUGUUUUUGCUUGUUUCUUUGUGGUAGUGACAGCGUAUUUCAUGUAGGAACCUGUGACAAAGCUCCACAUAAUAAACAUCAGAAAGUCAAGGAUGAUGGUUUUGGCCAAGGAGCAAAUGACACAUGCCACAGCUCUCCUGGCAGGUCCCCUUUUCGAGAUUGUGUCCUCCCGGAUAGGACUCUCAAGCAGCUGCAACAGGCAUCUUCCAGCUGGGAAAGGCCACUUGACCUGUUUUUCUCUUUCAAAAGCCAGGCAGCUGUGAGUCCAGGCUUGUCACUCCUGGGUGCAGGCUCAGGAAUUGAAGGUGGGUCUGCCAAGCCACACACCCUCGUUGAAACACCUCUGCUCUGUGGCCAGGUUUUUCAGCCCCUCCCCACUCCCCAUCAGCAGUGGCUUCUGGAAUUUCCCUGUCUGUAGAAUGAGAAUAGUUACAUCAAAAUUUCUUCCCAAGGAGCUAAUUGGAAUAUUGUAAUACAAAUAUUUGCAGAGAAUUAAUACUGAGAGAUGCUAAAGGAGAAUUAACUCAUGUAAUUACUAAUCAGUGUCUCUUUUCCAGGUACUCUGUAAGGGAGCUGAAACUUCCAGCCUUUCUUUCUAUUCACAAACCCACCUUUACCCGCCCCCAAUGCUGGACUUUGGUUUUUCAUAUUGCUUUUGCAGAACUUUAAAACAUUUGAACCUUUCCCUGAUGAGUUUUUGUCCUGAGGGGCCAGUGCAGUUUUCUUGCCACUUUGUUUUCCUCUCAUAUAACUUUUCCCUGUCAAUAAGGCAUUUAGGCUGAGAGAAAAAGUUAUUGAGCAUGUGCAUCCAAAUUUGAGAUGAUUGUUAUUUCAUUACCUAAUGACUUUAACUUCUUUGAUACUGUGUUUGUCUUAUGAAUAUAAUGGCUUUCUCACUUUAAUGAAAAGUUAUACAAUAAAAUUGAAAAGU